This 166-nucleotide antisense RNA is filed under the name Erwinia sp. Leaf53. Its description in RNAcentral is "sok antitoxin (CssrC)". It matches the Rfam family "sok antitoxin (CssrC)". From Rfam's summary of the family: Also identified in Shigella as CssrC. Lineage: Bacteria; Pseudomonadati; Pseudomonadota; Gammaproteobacteria; Enterobacterales; Erwiniaceae. The record is from Rfam by way of RNAcentral.
CGGCGCUUGAGGCUUCUGCUUCAGGUCGUCGGCAGCAGUGCUGAUGUGCGUGAGGCAGAUGCAGAAAAGCCCCGAAGUUAAUUCUCAUUAACCCCGAGGCCCCUGUAUGACACGCAACAUCAGGGUAUCCUCUUACCUGCCGCAAGGCAAGGAGAAGAAGGUCAUG